RNAcentral lists this non-coding RNA (29 nucleotides) under Rattus norvegicus (Norway rat). Lineage: Eukaryota; Metazoa; Chordata; Mammalia; Rodentia; Muridae. The record is from RNAcentral.
UACAAGCCAUUGAAUGAAUUAGGAAGCCA